CACCCACCAAUGAAAAGUUUGUGCGCUUUCCCAAAUUCUCUACUAUCAGUUCCUCUCCAUUCAUCAGAAGGAGCAAAAAUGAUCCUGUGGCUUAACUUGGUCUCUUUACUAGCUGUCUUUAGAGGUGUCCGAUCUCAGGUCCUAUUGGUGGAGUCUGGAGGGGAUGUGAGAAGACCUGGAGGAUCCCUCCGUCUCACCUGCCAAGCCUCUGGAUUCACCUUCAGCAGCUAUGCUAUGAACUGGGUGAGACAGUCUCCUGGAAAAGGACUGGAAUGGAUGGCAUACAUAAGCUCCAGUUCUGGUACUAUUUACUACUCAGACACAGUGAAGGGCCGCUUCACCAUCUCCAGGGACAAUGCCAAAAGCCAGCUGUAUCUGCAAAUGAACAGCCUCAAAGCUGAAGACACGGCCGUCUAUUACUGUGCUAGAUACACAGUGAGAGGAAGUGAAUCUGAAGCCAGACAAGAACCUUCUCUCCCUCAGAGCAGAUCUCCAACUGGAUUCAGUCACAGAAAGUUGAAUUUGAGUCUUUGAACUGAGCAGAAGGUGAUCAAUCUACAUCACAGCAAUAGACAUAUUCCAUGGACCUGUAGAACAUUUUAAGUCUUAAAAAACAAAUUAGACCCAUAUAAAUUAGGGAAAAUAGAACCCCAAAGUAAUAUUCUCUUCCUGAAUUGAAGGUGAAAGAACCUCUGCAUUUACAGUUACAACUAAUCAGUAAUGGUUCAUAGAGCUAACAAUAACCAGUUGUGAGCUGGGUGUGACAGGCUCCAAGGAAUGGAAGAGAAUGAAUUGUAUGAUGCCAGUAAACAAGUCUAUGCGGAAUCCAUGAAAGGGUGCUUUGCCACCUCUAGAGACAAAUCCAAUUACCUUCUGUUUUUUUUUUUCAAAUGGACAUCACAAGGAGGCGCAAAACAUGUAAUAAUUUUGACCAUGACUGAAAUAAAAUCUGUGGUUUCAGCUGUGAACAUGACUGCUUCUCCAGCUGCUUCCUGGAGAAUUAAAAUAGUUUCUUGAAGGAAAAAAAACGAUUCCUUGGGAAAUUAAUUCCCCAAGAGUUCUCAAAGUUUUUUAAAUAUCUUACAUAAAAAGCUUCAGUAUGUACACCCCAAAAAAAGCCCUCAUAUCUCAUUUACUGAUUUCAUGAAUGCUGGUUGAUGAAUAAAAUGAAAGGUUAUUGUUGUUUCACUGACUUUAGGCAGUUAUAGUAUUAAAACCAGAAUCAUACACAUGUACAGUUAGUCCUCAUGUUAUGACUGUAAUUGAGCCUAGUAAAUCAUGAUGGUCAUAAAGCAGGACAUCAUACAAUUGGACCUAAAUUUACUACCUUUAUUGCAGUGAACACGGCAGUUAUUAAACGAGCCCAUUUUUCCCAUUGGGCAAUUUUUCCACAAUCCAGAAGCCAAAGUAGUUUCCAGAAAUAAAAAAGAUCAUAUUCCUUUCACCA
Protobothrops mucrosquamatus (brown spotted pit viper) is the source of this 1447-nucleotide non-coding RNA. NCBI's taxonomy places the organism in Eukaryota, Metazoa, Chordata, Lepidosauria, Squamata, Viperidae. The record is from the annotation of a RefSeq genome assembly.